RNAcentral lists this ribosomal RNA (774 nucleotides) under Staphylococcus pseudintermedius. RNAcentral describes it as "partial 23S ribosomal RNA". It matches the Rfam family "Bacterial large subunit ribosomal RNA", at positions 415 to 1191 of the family's 2925-position model. The record is from RNAcentral. Lineage: Bacteria; Bacillati; Bacillota; Bacilli; Caryophanales; Staphylococcaceae.
CGACGGAGCACGUGAAAUUCCGUCGGAAUCUGGGAGGACCAUCUCCUAAGGCUAAAUACUCUCUAGUGACCGAUAGUGAACCAGUACCGUGAGGGAAAGGUGAAAAGUACCCCGGAAGGGGAGUGAAAGAGAACUUGAAACCGUGUGCUUACAAGUAGUCAGAGCCCGUUAAUGGGUGAUGGCGUGCCUUUUGUAGAAUGAACCGGCGAGUUACGAUCUGAUGCAAGGUUAAGCAGAAAAUGUGGAGCCGUAGCGAAAGCGAGUCUGAAUAGGGCGAAUGAGUAUUUGGUCGUAGACCCGAAACCAGGUGAUCUACCCUUGGUCAGGUUGAAGUUCAGGUAACACUGAAUGGAGGACCGAACCGACUUACGUUGAAAAGUGAGCGGAUGAACUGAGGGUAGCGGAGAAAUUCCAAUCGAACUUGGAGAUAGCUGGUUCUCUCCGAAAUAGCUUUAGGGCUAGCCUCAAGUGAUGAUUAUUGGAGGUAGAGCACUGUUUGGACGAGGGGCCCCUCUCGGGUUACCGAAUUCAGACAAACUCCGAAUGCCAAAUAAUUUAACUUGGGAGUCAGAAUGUGGGUGAUAAGGUCCAUAUUCGAAAGGGAAACAGCCCAGACCACCAGCUAAGGUCCCAAAAUAUAUGUUAAGUGGAAAAGGAUGUGGCGUUGCCCAGACAACUAGGAUGUUGGCUUAGAAGCAGCCAUCAUUUAAAGAGUGCGUAAUAGCUCACUAGUCGAGUGACACUGCGCCGAAAAUGUACCGGGGCUAAACAUAU